RNAcentral lists this long non-coding RNA (222 nucleotides) under Panax ginseng (ginseng). RNAcentral describes it as "long non-coding RNA (PGIN_LNC014262)". Lineage: Eukaryota; Viridiplantae; Streptophyta; Magnoliopsida; Apiales; Araliaceae. The record is from RNAcentral.
UUGUUUCUUGUUUCAGCAAACGUUGAUAACUCAAAUUUAUACCUUGCAAUUAUAUGUGUUGUAUACCUGAGUUAUCGUUGUCUUGUGAAAAAAGUUAAUCACCUUAUCACCAUUAAUUGCUUUAAGUCUAGGUGGGGCUGGUACAAUCUUAAAAUUGGAUAUGACGUAUACGUUGUCUUCGUUCAAUCUUUUGAUGUAUUGUGCUCGUUGGUUGAGUCUCAG